RNAcentral lists this ribosomal RNA (896 nucleotides) under Kurthia gibsonii. RNAcentral describes it as "bacterial SSU rRNA". It matches the Rfam family "Bacterial small subunit ribosomal RNA", at positions 31 to 918 of the family's 1533-position model. The record is from RNAcentral. Lineage: Bacteria; Bacillati; Bacillota; Bacilli; Caryophanales; Caryophanaceae.
GAGCGUGCGACUGUGCUAUACAUGCAGUCGAGCGAAUGACGAGAAGCUUGCUUCUCUGAUUUAGCGGCGGACGGGUGAGUAACACGUGGGCAACCUGCCCUACAGAUUGGGAUAACUCAGGGAAACCUGGGCUAAUACCGAAUAAUCCUUCGAAUCACAUGUUUUGAAGUUGAAAGGCGCUUCGGCGUCACUGUAGGAUGGGCCCGCGGUGCAUUAGCUAGUUGGUGGGGUAACGGCCUACCAAGGCAACGAUGCAUAGCCGACCUGAGAGGGUGAUCGGCCACAUUGGGACUGAGACACGGCCCAAACUCCUACGGGAGGCAGCAGUAGGGAAUCUUCCACAAUGGACGAAAGUCUGAUGGAGCAACGCCGCGUGAGUGAUGAAGGUUUUCGGAUCGUAAAACUCUGUUGUAAGGGAAGAACAAGUACGUUAGGAAAUGAACGUACCUUGACGGUACCUUAUUAGAAAGCCACGGCUAACUACGUGCCAGCAGCCGCGGUAAUACGUAGGUGGCAAGCGUUGUCCGGAUUUAUUGGGCGUAAAGCGCGCGCAGGUGGUUUCUUAAGUCUGAUGUGAAAGCCCACGGCUCAACCGUGGAGGGUCAUUGGAAACUGGGGAACUUGAGUGCAGAAGAGGAUAGUGGAAUUCCAAGUGUAGCGGUGAAAUGCGUAGAGAUUUGGAGGAACACCAGUGGCGAAGGCGACUGUCUGGUCUGUAACUGACACUGAGGCGCGAAAGCGUGGGGAGCAAACAGGAUUAGAUACCCUGGUAGUCCACGCCGUAAACGAUGAGUGCUAAGUGUUAGGGGUUUCCGCCCCUUAGUGCUGCAGCUAACGCAUUAGCACUCCGCCUGGGGAGUACGACCGCAAGUUGAAACUCAGAAAAUUUGACCGGA